GAUGAACGCUGGCGGCGUGCCUAAUACAUGCAAGUCGAGCGAACGGACGAGAAGCUUGCUUCUCUGAUGUUAGCGGCGGACGGGUGAGUAACACGUGGAUAACCUACCUAUAAGACUGGGAUAACUUCGGGAAACCGGAGCUAAUACCGGAUAAUAUUUUGAACCGCAUGGUUCAAAAGUGAAAGACGGUCUUGCUGUCACUUAUAGAUGGAUCCGCGCUGCAUUAGCUAGUUGGUAAGGUAACGGCUUACCAAGGCAACGAUGCAUAGCCGACCUGAGAGGGUGAUCGGCCACACUGGAACUGAGACACGGUCCAGACUCCUACGGGAGGCAGCAGUAGGGAAUCUUCCGCAAUGGGCGAAAGCCUGACGGAGCAACGCCGCGUGAGUGGUGAAGGUCUUAGGAUCGUAAAACUCUGUUAUUAGGGAAGAACAUAUGUGUAAGUAACUGUGCACAUCUUGACGGUACCUAAUCAGAAAGCCACGGCUAACUACGUG
This 497-nucleotide ribosomal RNA is filed under the name uncultured bacterium. Its description in RNAcentral is "partial 16S ribosomal RNA". It matches the Rfam family "Bacterial small subunit ribosomal RNA", at positions 28 to 507 of the family's 1533-position model. The record is from RNAcentral.